AGUGAACGCUGGCGGUAGGCCUAACACAUGCAAGUCGAACGGCAGCACAGGAGAGCUUGCUCUCUGGGUGGCGAGUGGCGGACGGGUGAGGAAUACAUCGGAAUCUACUUUUUCGUGGGGGAUAACGUAGGGAAACUUACGCUAAUACCGCAUACGACCUACGGGUGAAAGCAGGGGAUCUUCGGACCUUGCGCGAUUGAAUGAGCCGAUGUCGUAUUAGCGAGUUGGCGGGGUAAAGGCCCACCAAGGCGACGAUCCGUAGCUGGUCUGAGAGGAUGAUCAGCCACACUGGAACUGAGACACGGUCCAGACUCCUACGGGAGGCAGCAGUGGGGAAUAUUGGACAAUGGGCGCAAGCCUGAUCCAGCCAUACCGCGUGGGUGAAGAAGGCCUUCGGGUUGUAAAGCCCUUUUGUUGGGAAAGAAAUCCAGCUGGUUAAUACCCGGUUGGGAUGACGGUACCCAAAGAAUAAGCACCGACUAACUUCGUGCCAGCAGCCGCAGUAA
This 506-nucleotide ribosomal RNA is filed under the name uncultured bacterium. RNAcentral's name for it is "partial 16S ribosomal RNA". It matches the Rfam family "Bacterial small subunit ribosomal RNA", at positions 29 to 523 of the family's 1533-position model. The record is from RNAcentral.